UUGAACGCUGGCGGCAUGCCUUACCCAUGCAAGUCGCACGGCAGCACGGGUGCUUGCACCUGGUGGCGAGUGGCGAACGGGUGAGUAAUACAUCGGAACAUGUCCUGUAGUGGGGGAUAGCCCGGCGAAAGCCGGAUUAAUACCGCAUACGAUCCACGGAUGAAAGCGGGGGACCUUCGGGCCUCGCGCUAUAGGGUUGGCCGAUGGCUGAUUAGCUAGUUGGUGGGGUAAAGGCCUACCAAGGCGACGAUCAGUAGCUGGUCUGAGAGGACGACCAGCCACACUGGGACUGAGACACGGCCCAGACUCCUACGGGAGGCAGCAGUGGGGAAUUUUGGACAAUGGGCGAAAGCCUGAUCUAGCAAUGCCGCGUGUGUGAAGAAGGCCUUCGGGUUGUAAAGCACUUUUGUCCGGAAAGAAAUCCUUGACUCUAAUACAGUCGGGGGAUGACGGUACCGGAAGAAUAAGCACCGGCUAACUACGUG
This 485-nucleotide ribosomal RNA is filed under the name uncultured bacterium. Its description in RNAcentral is "partial 16S ribosomal RNA". It matches the Rfam family "Bacterial small subunit ribosomal RNA", at positions 30 to 507 of the family's 1533-position model. The record is from RNAcentral.